UACGUAGGAUGCGAGCGUUAAUCGGAAUUACUGGGCGUAAAGCGUGCGCAGGCGGUUCGUUAAGUCAGAUGUGAAAGCCCCGGGCUCAACCUGGGAACUGCAUUUGAAACUGGCGGGCUUGAGUGCGGCAGAGGGGGGUGGAAUUCCGCGUGUAGCAGUGAAAUGCGUAGAGAUGCGGAGGAACACCGAUGGCGAAGGCAGCCCCCUGGGCCGACACUGACGCUCAGGCACGAAAGCGUGGGGAGCAAACAGG
This 253-nucleotide ribosomal RNA is filed under the name uncultured bacterium. RNAcentral describes it as "partial 16S ribosomal RNA". It matches the Rfam family "Bacterial small subunit ribosomal RNA", at positions 524 to 776 of the family's 1533-position model. The record is from RNAcentral.